This 4604-nucleotide long non-coding RNA is filed under the name Sus scrofa (pig). RNAcentral's name for it is "lncRNA (ENSSSCG00040046249.1)". Lineage: Eukaryota; Metazoa; Chordata; Mammalia; Artiodactyla; Suidae. The record is from RNAcentral.
UUUUUUUUUUUUUUUUUUGUCUUUUUAGAACCACACCUGCAGCAUAUGGAAGUUCCCAGGCUAGGAGUCAAAUCUGAACUACAGUUUCUGGCCAACAUCACAGCCAUGGCAACAUGGGAUCCUCAACCCACUGAAAGAGGCCAGGGAUCGAACCUGCAUCGCAAUGGUAAUAGUUGGGUUUGUUUCUGCUGAACUCCAAUAAUUAAUUAUAUUUUAUAAUGCUCUAGAAACCUAAAAAGCAUUUGUACACAAGUAUCUUAUUUUCCGUAGAAGGCUUCUAAAAAGGAUAAAACAAGUAGGAUCACUAGUUUACAAGCGAGGAGAUCAAGACUUGGAUUUGUUAAGUGAGUUAGUUGCCCAGUAACUGCCUAGAAAAUACCCCUGUGGAGACUGAAACCCAGGUCUCUGAUGGGAUCAUCACUAGAUGAGACUAAACAGCCAGACUGGGCUCAGCGCCACAGCUCACUAGUCAUGUGACUUGGGUGAGCUGUGUCACCCCUCUGUGCUUCAGAUGCCUGGUCUGUAACAUGAGGAACAUAAACGUGUCUCUCCACAAGUCUUAAACGAGCAGCCAGAACACACAGUAAGCCCUGAACACAAACCCCCUAGUUAGACCCGCCCAGAGCUCUCCUCACUACAUCGUAUUACUGCUUGAGCAAGGUAAUGUGUUUUUCAAGUAUUCUGUAGAUCAACCUGGAUCUGAAUUUUGUCCCUAAAAUUACCUGCUAUCCUGUGACAUGGGUAAGUUACAUAAGCUCGCUGAACCCAUUGCCCAUCAAUGAAAGAGAAAGGAUAAUUGUCACUUCCUACAGAUGUCAUUGCUAUUAAACCAGGUAAUACCAUAAAUCACUUAGUACCUGCUCAGCAUGGUAUAAACACAGUAUAAAUGGGAGUUACCAUUACCAAAGUCAUACAAACAAUAUUUCUGUAGCGGAAGCUUGCAUCUGCAGUUACAGGGUCUCUAAUUCCAUGGAAAACCACUCCUUAAUGACUUCUCAAAAAUUUCAAGGGGUGUUGAAUAUGGCAAGUUCUUUUAUCAACCUCAUAGCUUCUGCCUCUGGGGCAGCCACCUUGGGUGAGGAAGGACUUAGUAACAGACUCCUUUUAGAGGGGUGGACACAAUAAAUCACUUUACUGGACACUCAGCUAGGUCAAAACACUCACUCAGUGGGUCAAACCCACCGAGCAAGGCCUGGGAUCGAACCUGCAUCCUCACAAAGACUAUGUCAGGUUCUUAGCCCGCUGAGCCACAAUGGGAACUCCUAUACUUAACUUUGAAAUGAGUGAGCCACUGCAAGACAGGGAGGGACUCACCCAGCAACUGUGCCAUGGAAACUUCCUUCACAUCCUAUGCUUCUUGCUCCAGGUGGGACAGCUAACAAACAAAGGAAGAAAAUUCUAUAUAUCUGAAUGAAGUAGGCCACUUGAUAGAUUCCCCCAAAGAAAUUUCAAGUCCUACAAAUUGACAGUAAGCCUCAUCAAUCUCAUUUCAGCCAGGAGAUGGUCAUUUUUUUUGCAAAUAAACCGCAUAGGACAUUGCAACAUUUGGGAACUAAAAAAGAAAAAAAAAACUGUGCUACUUUUCAGAGCACAGAAUUUCAUAGAGAUUUAAGAGUGAUGCUAUUAUGAUGAUUAAGCAAGGACCAAUAGAACCAAGGAGUUGAAAUUUUAUGGGAAAUGGAAAAUGAAGAAAAAAUUGGGAGUGCUGUUCAAUAUAUACCUGAAGUAGAGCUUCAUUAAUUAGCUGAAUGACACGAAUACUUAGCUGGAUGACUAAGUGAAGGGACAAUUUUCAGCAUAUCAAUCUGAGUCAUCAUUCACAUGCUAAUCAGCUAGUCUAAGUUCCAUGCUAGGAAUUACUAAUCACAAGGAAUAUAAAGAAGUCUAGUCCUCAGCCCCUAACUUCAUGAAACUACAGCCUGGCUGGCAAGAUGGGGUGCACUGCAUGCAUUCUGCAAACAUUCACCCUGGGCCAGGCUUGUCACUAGACAUCUAGGACCAAGAUGGUUAAGGGAGCUUCUUCCCUCCAGGAACUCAAGGUUGAUUUGGGAGGAAAACAAAACAUAACAGAACAAAACUAUGAAAAAACACUAACAUUUUGGUUCUUUAAUAAGAGUCAAUGCAGAAGUAUAAAAACAGUAGCCAUUCAUAAGCCUCCCAGGCCCUCCAUGAGCCCCUACCAUAUUCACAACAACCUGCUGUGGAUUACGAUCACGGCUUUUGUCUUGGAAAAAACAGAGCAGCUGAAGUUCAGAGAGGUUGUGUGUCGUGCCUCCAGUCACAGAGUUAGAACAGGCAUUAGAACCUAGGCACGCUUGGUUCCAAAGUUCCUGAUUUUCUUGACAGUUUGCCAUUUCCAUCAAGGAACUUCAUACCAUGGCAUCUAAGAGUGAGAAAUGACUAACUGUGCUGGGAGAAAUCAGGGAAGGCUUCACAGAGGAAGUGACACAAGGAGAUAGCAAAUAAAAUCAUGGGUGUUCCAAGGUACAAACUUCCAGUUAUAAGAUAGAGAAGAAACAGGUAUAUAAUGUACAACACGAUUAAUAUCAUUAUCACUACCAUAUGUUACAUAUGAAAAUUGCUAACAUUUAAGUCCUAAGAGUUCUCGUCACAAGGAAUUUUUGUUCGUUAAUUUUUAAUGAGAUGAUGGAUGUUCAUUGAACUUGUAAUGGUAAUUAUUUCAGGAUACAUGCAAGUCAAAUCAUUAUUCUGUAUUCCUUACACUUAUAGGGCACUGUGUCAAUUACAUCUCAACAAAACUGCAAGGAAAAAAUAAUAAAAUUUAGUACUAUUAGAAGUUUUAAUAAUCUAUCUUGCUCUGCAUAAAUUUUCACUUACUUUGUAAAUGAUUGAAACUUUUUAAACUUUAAUUUAAAGAACAAAUAGACUAUAGUCUUUAAAUUUCAUCUCAGUGUACGAUUUAUCUUAGGAAAUAACAGAAGGCUGUGGAAACGGGGUUUUGGUCUUAUCUUCUGCAUAUGACCACUAGAUGGCGAUAGCUGCACAUUCAUUCUAAGGCCAGUCUGUGAAAGGGUCACCAUUUCAGCAGUUGGCUUCACUGUAAGUACUUCUUUUAAGAAUCUAAAUUUCCGUAUCAGAAGUGGCUCACAGAAGGAUGGAUGUUUAAGACUAUGUAAUAUCUUUGCUAUAUCUGUGUUAAGAACUGGUUGUCUUUCCCAGCUAGCUGACAUCACAUCAUUUAAAAAGUUAUGAAUAUAUUAGUUUCCUAAAAAUGGCACAAAUACAGAGAUUUAAUUCUGUGUAGAUUACUGUUUUAUGCACAAAAUAAUAUAUUUAUAUUCACUUUUUAAAAAAAUCGAUGCUGAGACAGAAUCACUUCAUGGAGCCUUACGUUAUUUCUUCUAUUAAGUAAAUAUGAUUUCCAAGGCAAUCUGCCUAAAGUUGGCUUUCAACAAUUAUUUGUGAAAAUGAACAUCAGAUUCAGUUUGUGUUUGGUUUAAAGUAAAUUGAUUUGAAUGUGAGCCCAGAACUGGAAUGGUUUCUUCACAUUUUUAGACUCGAUAUCCAUUUGACACCAGGAAAGCAUGGAAAUGUUAUUUUGGCUAUGAAGUUGCCAUGAGAAGCCCACUAAGCAUGUCAUAUCAUAGAAAGAGCUCCAAGCAAAGCCAUUAUGUGGAGAGGCCAAUUAUAGGACCCUAGGAAUAAACCGCCUACAGCCUGUGUGCACAUUAGGUUUAAGUUGUAGGAAGAGAGGAUGAGAAGCUGGAAAGAAAAAUGAAAAUGAUCCAAAGUAAUGAACACGCUCAUUUUCAGUAAAUAACAGCCAACUGUUAAACCACCAAUUCCUGAUAAGGGUAUGCAAACCUUAAAACAUGUGCAGAAUUGCUUCUGGGUUAAAAACAUAUUUCAUCCACAUGCUGGAAAUAUUUAUAAGCCAUUACUUUAAUAUUAAGACACUUAACACACUUAAUUUUGUUUUCAGAGCAUUUUACAAAUUAUUCUCGAACUUCAUGUAUGUAAGAAAUGGAUAGGAAUUUACCUUACCUAAACCUCACCUCAAGACAUGUUUCACUGAUCUACUUUUUAAAAAUUUGAUUUCCAGGAUAAGUUUUGUAUUAUGUUUCCAUUUGAAUAGAACAUAGAAAAUAUAUUAAGUGGGAAAAUAAAAUUUUAAAAAUUUUUUAAAAAAGAAAAUAUAUUAAGGAAAAAAAGAUACUGUUGAUCACCAGCAGAGAGCGCUAUCCUCAAACCUAAAAAUCCCACACUCCACUGAUAAAGUACCUUUGCUCUCUUGAAUGAUGCUUCAGCAUAAUCCAGUUUAACCACAGCAUUAUAAUUUUUUUUAGGUAUUUAACCAUAUAUUUAAAGGGUGGAACUCUUGCCUUGCAGAAUGUGACCGCUUAUACAUGCAAAGAGUACCCACCAUUUACCUAAGUUAAUGACAAGAAAAGCUAAAAGGAUGCCAUUCUGUAGCAUCACACUCAUCAUAAUUUAUAACUUUAAUGUUUAGCUCUUGCAUUCACCUAAAUGAAAUGUAUGAUUCCUUUAUUUGCUCUCAGAGUCCACAAAAAUCUCUAUUUAGGAAUGCAUCAUUUUAUGAGGAUUGCUAAUUUUUCCUGGUUAAUUGGAAAAUGAAUAAACAU